RNAcentral lists this ribosomal RNA (406 nucleotides) under uncultured bacterium. RNAcentral's name for it is "bacterial SSU rRNA". It matches the Rfam family "Bacterial small subunit ribosomal RNA", at positions 29 to 479 of the family's 1533-position model. The record is from RNAcentral.
AACGAACGCUGGCGGCAUGCCUAACACAUGCAAGUCGAACGAGACCUUCGGGUCUAGUGGCGCACGGGUGCGUAACGCGUGGGAACCUGCCUUUAGGUUCGGAAUAACUCAGAGAAAUUUGAGCUAAUACCGGAUAAUGUCUUCGGACCAAAGAUUUAUCGCCUUUAGAUGGGCCCGCGUUGGAUUAGCUAGUUGGUGGGGUAAAGGCCUACCAAGGCGACGAUCCAUAGCUGGUCUGAGAGGAUGAUCAGCCACACUGGGACUGAGACACGGCCCAGACUCCUAACGGGAGGCAGCAGUGGGGAAUAUUGGACAAUGGGCGAAAGCCUGAUCCAGCAAUGCCGCGUGAGUGAUGAAGGCCUUAGGGUUGUAAAGCUCUUUUACCCGAGAUGAUAAUGACAGUAUC